This 728-nucleotide ribosomal RNA is filed under the name uncultured bacterium. RNAcentral describes it as "bacterial SSU rRNA". It matches the Rfam family "Bacterial small subunit ribosomal RNA", at positions 28 to 798 of the family's 1533-position model. The record is from RNAcentral.
GAUGAACGCUGGCGGCGUGCUUAACACAUGCAAGUCGAACGAACACUUUCGGGUGUUAGUGGCGAACGGGUGAGUAACGCGUGAGGAUCUGCCCUUAGGUGGGGGACAACCGUUGGAAACGGCGGCUAAUACCGCAUAUGGCGAGAGCUAAAAGCUUAAAGUGCCUAGGGAUGAACUCGCGUCUGAUUAGCUAGUUGGUGAAGUAAUGGUUUACCAAGGCGACGAUCAGUAGCUGGUCUGAGAGGAUGAUUAGCCACACUGGGACUGAGACACGGCCCAGACUCCUACGGGAGGCAGCAGUGGGGAAUUUUCCGCAAUGGGGGCAACCCUGACGGAGCAACGCCGCGUGGGGGAGGAAUGUCUGUGGAUUGUAAACCCCUUUUCUCAGGGAAGAAGAUCUGACGGUACCUGAGGGAUCAGCAUCGGCUAACUCCGUGCCAGCAGCCGCGGCAAGACGGAGGAUGCAAGCGUUAUCCGGAAUUAUUGGGCGUAAAGCGUCCGUAGGCGGUUUUAUAAGUCUGUCGUUAAAGACUGCAGCUCAACUGUGGGUAAGCGAUGGAAACUGUAGGACUGGAGUACGGUAGGGGUAGAGGGAAUUCCCAGUGUAGCGGUGAAAUGCGUAGAUAUUGGGAAGAACACCAGUGGCGAAGGCGCUCUACUGGGCCGUAACUGACGCUGAGGGACGAAAGCUAGGGGAGCGAAAGGGAUUAGAUACCCCUGUAGUCCUA